GGGGAAUAUUGGACAAUGGGCGCAAGCCUGAUCCAGCCAUGCCGCGUGAGUGAUGAAGGCCUUCGGGUUGUAAAGCUCUUUUAUCCGGGAAGAUAAUGACUGUACCGGAAGAAUAAGCCCCGGCAAACUUCGUGCCAGCAGCCGCGGUAAUACGAAGGGGGCUAGCGUUGUUCGGAUUUACUGGGCGUAAAGCGCACGUAGGCGGCUUGUUAAGUCAGAGGUGAAAGCCUGGAGCUCAACUCCAGAACUGCCUUUGAUACUGGCAUGCUCGAGUAUGGAAGAGGUUGGUGGAACUGCGAGUGUAGAGGUGAAAUUCGUAGAUAUUCGCAAGAACACCAGUGGCGAAGGCGGCCAACUGGUCCAUUACUGACGCUGAGGUGCGAAAGCGUGGGGAGCAAAC
This 400-nucleotide ribosomal RNA is filed under the name uncultured bacterium. RNAcentral's name for it is "bacterial SSU rRNA". It matches the Rfam family "Bacterial small subunit ribosomal RNA", at positions 356 to 773 of the family's 1533-position model. The record is from RNAcentral.